UGGGGGAUAUUGCACAAUGGGCGAAAGCCUGAUGCAGCGACGCCGCGUGGGGAUGAAGGCCUUCGGGUUGUAAACCUUUUUUGCUCUUAACAAAGCAUUCUAAAUGGUGUGGUUAGUGGAGGGGUUGAUUUGCGCCGGCUAACUUAGUGCCAGCCAGCGCGGUAAUUAGGUGGGGCCGAGCGUUUUUCGGAAUUUUUGGGCGUAAAGGGCCUGUAGGUGGUUGGUUGCGUCUGUCGUGAAAGCUAAUGGCUUAACUGUGGGUUUGCGGUGGGUACGGGCUGGCUUGAGUGCAGUAGGGGAGGCUGGAAUUCCUGGUGUAGCGGUGGAAUGCGCAGAUAUCAGGAGGAAUACCGGUGGCGAAGGCGGGUCUCUGGGCUGUUACUGACACUGAGGAGCGAAAGCAUGGGGAGCGAACAGG
RNAcentral lists this ribosomal RNA (418 nucleotides) under bacterium. RNAcentral describes it as "partial 16S ribosomal RNA". It matches the Rfam family "Bacterial small subunit ribosomal RNA", at positions 355 to 776 of the family's 1533-position model. The record is from RNAcentral.